CCUAUACCCCAAGGUCCAGAUGGCGGCCAACGUGGGUGAUCAGUGCAGCACAGAUUGGUCUUCUUUGUUCAGCAUGGUGGCUGGGGCCAGCAGAGAGAAUGGCAUGGAGAUUCCCAUGCACAAGAACCCAGAGUGGCAGAAGGCCCACCAGACCCUGGCCAGCAUCAGCAAAGCAGAGGCUGCCAGCAGCUCCAAAGCCAACAGCAGUGGGCCUGCAGCCAGUGCUCUCAGGCAGAAGCCUCAGCUUCGCCACAGCAGCAACAGUGCUACUGAUGCAUAGGCAAUACAACUAUGCCUACCUUGCCUUACAGCUACCACUCCCCCAUGAGCACAUACCAGUGACACAGCUCCCCCUCGCAGUAUGGGAUAACCAGUUCCUGGCGCUCAGCUACAGCUCAGCAGCUAUCAGCUCCCCAGCACCAAGAGACUCUAAGCCAGCCUCCAGUCCCCCAACAUGGAUGAGAGUAUGGCCUGCCAGGCUUUCCCUCAACAGCUACCUGCAGCCCAGUCCCCUCAGCCCUCGAACCUUCAGCAAGGGACACAUGAUCUAAGCAAUGGCUCUCUGCUUGGAACAGUCCCAGCCACUCAGCACAGGCAGACAGGGGCACCUACAGGGCAUGCAUAUGGCCCACGCAGCUGCAGAAAGCCUGCCAAGUCCAAGAAGGGUCAGCAGCUGUGGGCCCGCAUAAAACCAGGCCCUGGGACUGGAGGUCUCAUGUUUAACAUCCAGAAGUGGCCCUUGGCUGUCACUAACCAGAACUUCAGCUCCAACGCAAGGGUCAACACUGUAGUUUUGGCUCCCAGUUCAACUCAGAGAAAGCUCAGAACCACAGUGAGCCUUCCAGUCGGGGUGGGAGCUGUCUGGGAAGCCAGAUGAUUGGCUGCAGGUUAUGAAGAAAUAUGUGGAGCUUUGCUUCACCACCUGCGAGUCAGUCAAGGACAAGGACCAGAGAAGCUGCUCAAGGAGGUGCCACAGGUCUGGCACCAAGGAUGGCUCCGCCUACACCAUAGACUGGAAUCAUGAGCCUCUGCCUGGGCUGAGCAGGGAGCAUGUGGCUAAAAGGCCCAAGAAGAAGCAAUUGAAGGCCUUUAGCAGCCUUCACCCUCGCGGGGGGGGGGGGUGGGGGGGGGGGGGGGGCAGACUCAGUAACUCCUGGGGCUUGAGGGUGCUGGCUGAGCUCCAGGUAGCAGCUUUGCUGAGUUGGUGACCUUAGCGUCGUCAUGAAAUACCACAGCUCCUCUUCCAACAUGGAUCCUCACUCCCACUCUUCAUCCAGGUCCCCUAACCGCCACUUCCGGAGAAGUGACACCCACUCAGGCAAGCUCAUACUCUAG
Non-coding RNA from Myodes glareolus (Bank vole), 1335 nucleotides. The record is from RefSeq and is a predicted model, not a curated record. Lineage: Eukaryota; Metazoa; Chordata; Mammalia; Rodentia; Cricetidae.